This 497-nucleotide ribosomal RNA is filed under the name uncultured bacterium. Its description in RNAcentral is "partial 16S ribosomal RNA". It matches the Rfam family "Bacterial small subunit ribosomal RNA", at positions 28 to 507 of the family's 1533-position model. The record is from RNAcentral.
GAUGGACGCUGGCGGCGUGCCUAAUACAUGCAAGUCGAGCGAACGGACGAGAAGCUUGCUUCUCUGAUGUUAGCGGCGGACGGGUGAGUAACACGUGGAUAACCUACCUAUAAGACUGGGAUAACUUCGGGAAACCGGAGCUAAUACCGGAUGAUAUUUUGAACCGCAUGGUUCAAAAGUGAAAGACGGUCUUGCUGUCACUUAUAGAUGGAUCCGCGCUGCAUUAGCUAGUUGGUAAGGUAACGGCUUACCAAGGCAACGAUGCAUAGCCGACCUGAGAGGGUGAUCGGCCACACUGGAACUGAGACACGGUCCAGACUCCUACGGGAGGCAGCAGUAGGGAAUCUUCCGCAAUGGGCGAAAGCCUGACGGAGCAACGCCGCGCGAGUGAUGAAGGUCUUCGGAUCGUAAAACUCUGUUAUUAGGGAAGAACAUAUGUGUAAGUAACUGUGCACAUCUUGACGGUACCUAAUCAGAAAGCCACGGCUAACUACGUG